This 661-nucleotide ribosomal RNA is filed under the name Ramichloridium sp. RH5.1. RNAcentral's name for it is "eukaryotic LSU rRNA". It matches the Rfam family "Eukaryotic large subunit ribosomal RNA", at positions 43 to 735 of the family's 3401-position model. The record is from RNAcentral. Lineage: Eukaryota; Fungi; Ascomycota; Dothideomycetes; Mycosphaerellales; Dissoconiaceae.
UCAAUAAGCGGAGGAAAAGAAACCAACAGGGAUUGCCCUAGUAACGGCGAGUGAAGCGGCAACAGCUCAAAUUUGAAACCUGGCGCUUGCGUCCGGAUUGUAAUUUGCAGAGGAUGCUUCUGGGCAGCGGCCGGUCUAAGUUCCUUGGAAAAGGACGUCAUAGAGGGUGAGAACCCCGUAUGUGACCGGCGCGCACCCUCCACGUAGCUCCUUCGACGAGUCGAGUUGUUUGGGAAUGCAGCUCUAAAUGGGAGGUAAAUUUCUUCUAAAGCUAAAUAUUGGCCCGAGACCGAUAGCGCACAAGUAGAGUGAUCGAAAGAUGAAAAGCACUUUGGAAAGAGAGUUAAAAAGCACGUGAAAUUGUUGAAAGGGAAGCGCUUCCCACCAGACUCCGCGGCGGUGUUCCGCCGGUCUUCUGACCGGUCUACUCGCCGCCGUGGGGCCAGCAUCGUCUGGGGCCGCCGGAUAAGACCGCAGGAAUGUAGCUCAUUGAGUGUUAUAGCCUGCGGGGAUGCGGCGCGCCCCGGGCGAGGUCCGCGCUUCGGCAAGGAUGCUGGCGUAAUGGUGGGCAGCGGCCCGUCUUGAAACACGGACCAAGGAGUCUAACAUCUAUGCGAGUGUUCGGGUGUCAAACCCCUACGCGUAAUGAAAGUGACGGAGG